Molecule: long non-coding RNA, 376 nt
Organism: Pocillopora damicornis (cauliflower coral)
Lineage: Eukaryota; Metazoa; Cnidaria; Anthozoa; Scleractinia; Pocilloporidae
Source: RefSeq, a predicted model, not a curated record
AUUAUACUCUUCUUCUCCUUUUUUUAUCUGCUGCUUCUGAAUCAUCAAGCAGAGGCCUUCAGUCGGCCGAAACUAAUGGCCAAACGGCGUUUUCCCCUUGAAAGAGUCGUCCAGCAUCAAGAUCCAGGACAGGAAAUUACUAAACCACUGAACUAUGAAUGGUCCAUUCCCGUCGAAAGAGAAGUUCGUCAAAAAGAGAAAGACGACCCGAAUCUGGAGGCUAACGAGUGGAUGUACUGAGAUGAAACGCGCAUUGGCUUGGCUUGUGGAUAAACAGUGAAAAGGGACCAUUGUAUUGUGACGCGAGUCCAGAAGUAGUACUGAUCGUAAAAGUAUUGUAGAAUAUUCCGAAAUAAAAUGAUUUGAAACCAGUCAA